UACGAAGGUGGCAAGCGUUGUUCGGAUUUACUGGGCGUAAAGGGAGCGUAGGUGGUUAGGUAAGCCCUCCGGGAAAUCUUCAGGCUUAACCUGAAAAGGUCGGGGGGGACUGCCUGGCUAGAGGACGGGAGAGGAGCGCGGAAUUCCCGGUGUAGCGGUGAAAUGCGUAGAGAUCGGGAGGAAGGCCGGUGGCGAAGGCGGGCAUCUGGGCCAACACUGACGCUGAGGCGCGAAAGCUAGGGGAGCAAACAGG
Molecule: ribosomal RNA, 253 nt
Filed under: uncultured bacterium
Lineage: Bacteria
Description: partial 16S ribosomal RNA
Rfam family: Bacterial small subunit ribosomal RNA
Source: RNAcentral